RNAcentral lists this ribosomal RNA (226 nucleotides) under uncultured Nitrobacter sp. Its description in RNAcentral is "partial 16S ribosomal RNA". It matches the Rfam family "Bacterial small subunit ribosomal RNA", at positions 1259 to 1485 of the family's 1533-position model. The record is from RNAcentral. Lineage: Bacteria; Pseudomonadati; Pseudomonadota; Alphaproteobacteria; Hyphomicrobiales; Nitrobacteraceae.
UACCCCUAGCAAAUCUCAAAAAACCGUCUCAGUUCGGAUUGGGCUCUGCAACUCGAGCCCAUGAAGUUGGAAUCGCUAGUAAUCGUGGAUCAGCAUGCCACGGUGAAUACGUUCCCGGGCCUUGUACACACCGCCCGUCACACCAUGGGAGUUGGUUUUACCUGAAGACGGUGCGCUAACCGCAAGGAGGCUAUCGGCGAAGGUGGGGUCAGCGACUGGGGUGAAG